UUAGCUACUUUAGAUAUGGUUUGUAGACAUGACUGACAUCAUGGAUACAAACAUCAGUAUAAAACUGAUUUUGUAUCUGUGAUGGCUAAAGAAAUUUGAGUUGAUCAAAUUUGGCCACAUAGAUGAAAUAAUCUAAGUGGUCAACAUACCCAUAACUUUUGAGGGCGCCUAUUUAGAUUAUUUCAUCUAAA
This 191-nucleotide non-coding RNA is filed under the name Alkalibacterium sp. 20. Its description in RNAcentral is "Enterococcus sRNA 2410". It matches the Rfam family "Enterococcus sRNA 2410". Rfam says of the family: Produced as 2 transcripts on Northern blot. The record is from Rfam by way of RNAcentral. Lineage: Bacteria; Bacillati; Bacillota; Bacilli; Lactobacillales; Carnobacteriaceae.